This 253-nucleotide ribosomal RNA is filed under the name uncultured bacterium. RNAcentral describes it as "partial 16S ribosomal RNA". It matches the Rfam family "Bacterial small subunit ribosomal RNA", at positions 524 to 776 of the family's 1533-position model. The record is from RNAcentral.
UACGUAGGGGGCAAGCGUUGUCCGGAUUUAUUGGGCGUAAAGAGCGUGUAGGCGGCCAGGUAGGUCAGCUGUGAAAACUCGAGGCUCAACCUCGAGACGUCGGUUGAAACCACCUGGCUAGAGUCCGGAAGAGGAGAGUGGAAUUCCUGGUGUAGCGGUGAAAUGCGCAGAUAUCAGGAAGAACACCCGUAGCGAAGGCGGCACUCUGGGCCGAGUCUGACACUGAGGAGCGAAAGCGUGGGGAGCGAACAGG